GAUGAAGAACGUAGCGAAAUGCGAUACUUGGUGUGAAUUGCAGAAUCCCGUGAACCAUCGAGUCUUUGAACGCAAGUUGCGCCCGAAGCCAUUAGGCCGAGGGCACGCCUGCCUGGGCGUCACACGUCGUUGCCCCCCCAUCUACUCCUUCGGGAUUGCGGGGGGCGGAUGAUGGCCUCCCGUGCGCCUCGCCGCGCGGUUGGCAUAAAUGCCAAGUCCUCGGCGACGCACGCCACGACAAUCGGUGGUUGCGAAACCUCGGUUGCCCGUCGUGUGCGGUCGUCGCGCAUCGAGGGCUCGAAAAAAUUGCCGGGUUCCGGCUCGGAUUUCAACGCGACCCCAGGUCAGGCGGGGUUACCCGCUGAAUUUAAGCAUAUCAAUAAGCGGAGGA
Molecule: unclassified non-coding RNA, 391 nt
Filed under: soil metagenome
Description: partial contains 5.8S ribosomal RNA, internal transcribed spacer 2, and large subunit ribosomal RNA
Rfam family: 5.8S ribosomal RNA (bases 1-122)
Source: RNAcentral